This 233-nucleotide long non-coding RNA is filed under the name Daucus carota (carrot). RNAcentral describes it as "long non-coding RNA (DCAR_LNC003349)". The record is from RNAcentral. Lineage: Eukaryota; Viridiplantae; Streptophyta; Magnoliopsida; Apiales; Apiaceae.
UUUGACAUAGUAAUCAUUCACAAGUUUUAAUGAUAAAACACAUAUACUUUCUAAUUAAUGUCAACACUUUGCAAAAAAAGACCAAAACAUAUAUAAAUUUACGUUUAAUCUCUUUUGAAAUAAUUUUCAAAUAAAACAAUAAAAAAUUGAUAAGUCAAACUCGGAUUUGACCUCGAGUACUCGGAGACAAACCGAGUUUUGACCGAUUUUUUAAUAAAUCGGUUUUGAACCCG